AGUAUAGACUGAGAAGGAGAUCUAUCUCUAGUAUAGACUGAGAAGGUGAUCUAUCUCUAGUAUAGACUGAGAAGCUGAUCUAUCUAGUAUAGACUGAGAAGGUGAUCUGUCUAGUAUAGACUGAGAAGCUGAUCUAUCUAGUAUAGACUGAGAAGGUGAUCUAUCUAGUAUAGACUGAGAAGGUGAUCUGUCUAGUAUAGACUGAGAAGGUGAUCUAUCUAGUAUAGACUGAGAAGGUGAUCUGUCUAGUAUAGACUGAGAAGGUGAUCUAUCUAGUAUAGACUGAGAAGGUGAUCUAUCUAGUAUAGACUGAGAAGCUGAUCUAUCUAGUAUAGACUGAGAAGCUGAUCUAUCUAGUAUAGACUGAGAAGGUGAUCUAUCUAGUAUAGACUGAGAAGGUGAUCUAUCUAGUAUAGACUGAGAAGGUGAUCUAUCUAGUGUAGACUGAGAAGGUGAUCUAUCUAGUAUAGACUGAGAAGCUGAUCUAUCUAGUAUAGACUGAGAAGGUGAUCUAUCUAGUAUAGACUGAGAAGGUGAUCUAUCUAGUAUAGACUGAGAAGGUGAUCUAUCUAGUAUAGACUGAGAAGGUGAUCUAUCUCUAGUAUAGACU
This is a long non-coding RNA of Oncorhynchus keta (chum salmon), 610 nucleotides long. RefSeq lists it as uncharacterized. The transcript is spliced from 4 exons. Lineage: Eukaryota; Metazoa; Chordata; Actinopteri; Salmoniformes; Salmonidae. The record is from RefSeq and is a predicted model, not a curated record.